AGUCAUGCAGUCACUGUUGACUGAACUACACCAUUAUUUGGAGAUGUCAGAACUGGAAGUAAUUUUAUAUUGAUAAAUUCUGACGUCUUUUUUACAUUAAUAAAUUCUGAUGUCUCUUUUUAUAUAGGUAGUUCUUCUCAAUUGUCCAAAAGAAUAUCUAAUCAUUACUCUACCUUUAGGCAUAUCAAUAAACGUAACAAUACUAGGCUUAGUAUAUUAAUCUGGUAUCUUAAAGAUGAUAAUAAUCAAUUUGAUUUGGAAUGGAAUAUUCUCUCUAUAUCUUUACCAUAUGAUAAAGGUAAAUCUUUUCGUUCGCUUUGUAACAGUGAAAUGUACUGUAUCCUGUUCUCAGAGAAUCUCCUUGUAAAGACGUUUAUAGGACUCGUUUAUCGUUGCUAAUAUUGGUAAAAACAUACCUUUAGUUCCUAUAAAUGAUUUCUACCAUUCUAUAAAAUUCGACCUUUGACUGUCUUCUUACAUUUCUCUUCCAGUAAAUAUAUCUACUUCUAUGACUUUAACCCUUUUGUUACUAUAUUUCUGAUCAAAAUACACCCCUCAUAAGUUCCUUUAAAUUCUAAAAUAAUCAUGAAUUUAGACUAGUUUCAUAAAAGAACUGUAACUUUUUUACUUAUCAACAUAUUGUGAUAUUUGGAACAUAAUUGAAGAAAGGGUUCUUAAUCAAUUCUAUUGCAUAACUUUUGUCUCAAAGUGACUCUAGUUACAGGUAAAUCCAGGUAAACUGAGCAAAAUGUUUAAAUUUUGUUUGAAUAUUACCAUAGAAAAUGAGUCAUCGGCUAAUAUUCAAUUGGGUAUGCAACAAAAUUUUGAUAUAGAGGAAUUGUGCACGUCACUAGAUUAUCAGCUGAAUUUAAUGCACAGAAGAACAGAUGUAUCAUUAAGGUAAAAUAAACUGAAAUACUGGAAUUUGUUUUUGUGAAGAAAACUAGAAAAUUAAAUACAGCAACUAAAUGAAAUAUACACAUACAUAAAUACACAGGAACAUAUACAACAAAAAGUAAAACCAAGUAAAUUUGAAAAAUAUUUAUACAAUCUAAUUAUACAUAUAUACAAUAUUCACACAAUAUUUCUAUCAUGGAAAGUUGUAAAACAUCCCACUCUACAUACUGCAUCCUUGUAGAAUGCACACUGGAAAGAUGUUUCAACUGGCUAUCCACUGGAGUUUUUCUUUGUUGAUGCAGACAUUCAUGGCACUACCUUUUGCAACCCCCAAUUUUUUUCUACUUUAUGUAGAUCAGCUGAACUCAGAGGGAUAUCUUUCUAGCAGGCUUUGCUUUUCCUUCCUGCAGUUAUUUGUUUGGAGGAAUAACCUGCCCUCAACUGUGUUGCUACAUCUGCUUGGAACUGCAGAUGGUUGCACCGCUUGCAAGUCCCUCCUGAUUUGGUAUAUAAUAUAAAUGCAUUUACAAUGCUCAUGUUUACUAUAUACCAAACCAGGUAUCGCCACCAUUUAUUACCCGGUCUGCCAACCAGAUAAUAACUCAUCAUCUGGUUCAGUUGAUCCACACUGCCCAUGUACCUGUUAUAAUGUAGGUUCACAAACAGGGUGCCAUUUUCAUCUUCACAUGGUUGUGCACCGGUAGAUAGAAAAUUUAUCUGCCUCUUAUCUCUGUAUGCGGUCGCUAGCAGAUUUCCUUUCUGGUGUUGGAUUAUUUCAUCUCUUGUUUUAAAUUUUGCCUUUUUUAUAUCCAACAGCAGUCCUUUUCUACUAGCAAUUAUUGUAGCACACAUAUACAUUGUCACAGCUUCUAAAUUUACAUCAAGUUUGACUGAACUAAAAGAUCAGUCAAAAAAUAAUAUACCGCCCUGGUUAUGGUAUGGAAGUGAUAAAUUCCAGACCACAUCGUACCUUAGGCCAUGCUGACUAACAUUAUUGUCUCUUUUCCCUGUAUAAAAACUAAAUCCACAGCAGUACCCAGUAUUUGCCUCACAAAUUUUCCAAACUUUGAUCUCCCAUUUCGUGGGCUUUCCUGGCAUAUACUGUCAGAAGCGUACCCUUCCUUUAUACCCCACCAUGCCGUCAUCAAUGGACAAGUAUCUCUCGGGGUUGUAAAAUGUUUUAUAUGCAUUUUGAACGCAGUCAAUGAGGGGCCUUAUUUUAAAUAAGGGAUCAAAGUUUGGUUCUCCAUGUACUGGGGUACUGCUAGUGUCUCUCACAUGUAAAUACUGGUUCAGUUUCACAGAUCGUAUUCAGGUCAUAAUACUGGAAACAUACUGAUCGCCAAAAGGUUCCUGAUUGCUCCAGUAAUUUGUAAUCCUGGGUAACUGUCUAAUACUCAUAAUAAUAUUUAUGGCAAAAAAAUGCCUGUAUUCCUUCUAUGGUUGUGGGAGACCACAAGCUGUCUUUUUUUCCAGCUUGUUUACAUUCUGCGUAACAGUUUGUUUCUGCAGUAAUUACUUCAAACAAGCAUACUGGGAAAAAUAAUAAAAAGUCUAAUGGUUUUGCUUUCUGAGAAAGUCUAUGGGUAGACCCUGUCUCCUCAGAAAAAUUGGUAAUAAAAACAUUUUUUUAGUUUUUACUCCAUUCUGGUGUAAAAUCGUCCUCAUUAUUGCUAUCACUGCUUUCAGUUUCUUAAGAAUCGCUGCUUUUGGUUUCGGAUACAGAAAUAUCCAAUUCAUUUUCAUUCACCACGUGCUUUUGUACCACAUUCUUUUUCUUGAUAUCUCCAUAUCUUCUGUUGAAAAGCCUUCAAAUUCGGAAUCACUGCUUGAUUGCAUGAAAUUCCUCUCCAUUUUCAAAGUUGGAAAAAAUCAACGCCGAAAAAAUGUGGGAAAAAUCUUCCUAAAUUCACUGAGUUCAAAUAUCACGUCAAACAAUGUCGGAUACUAUAACUCAACUAUUUACAAAGUGAAAUCAUGUGUUUUCACAAAUGUACUAAUGAGAUUUGUGUUCAAAUUUACAUUUAAAUAAUAAUGGGCACUCCCAGCUGGCUAUGGCCAGGUUGGUCUUUUGAACCCCAAAAUUUUUCAGCCAGCUACAGUGGGGUUAGUAUCAAAAGGGUUAAGCUUUAUUCUAAUUCACCUAUCGCUCAAUAUCUCUCCACUAUUAGUUUUCUGCUAAUUUCUUUCUUUCUCCUCUUUUUCUUUCUAUAAACUACCUUGAAGUUGUAGCUGCUAAUGGUUUUUCUAAAAAAACUUGAUAACAUUCCCUUCAUCACAUACGCAGUCAUCACAUACGCAGUCAUCACAUACUGUUCAAAUGUCUUAUUGAUGUGUUUGGUUUCUUUCCCUGAUGAGAAUAUUGCAUUGCUUUACACCAUUUUAUUCCUUCUGGAAUAAUACCAAUGUUUUCUUCGAAACAUAUGUUGGAAGUAGAAAAAUUUGAAUAACACCUGCAUUUAGAAGAAAAAGUGGGAUUAAAAAAUCCAGGCAGAUAUCAAUAAAGACUUUGAAUUUAAUGAAUUAUGGAUCACCUUAAAGACAUGUUAACAAAUUUUUUGGAAAGAUUAUUUUUAAUGAUAUUUCCUAUAUCUAAAUAGGGUUAGUAAAAGAGAAACAACUGCUGACUUUGUGAGGUAAAUUCUGCAAUUUAAGGCAUGAUUUUCUCUAUACUCAUUUUGUUACACACACACACACACACACGCGCACGUGCACACACACACACACACACACUAUUGUCUCUUUCAAAAGGGACAAAGAGUUAAUAGGACUGCAAAAAGGAAGUGUUCAAAUAAAUGAGGCAAUGGUAAUUAAACAUUGGUCAUGGAACAAACAUUAAAAUGAGUUAAUGACUUUAUAUGCAGUAUCAAACCUUCAACAUACAUCAUAUAUAGAUAUUACCAUGGCUUUCAUAAUAUACAAGACAUACAAAUACAGAAAACCACUAAGGUAAAAAUAUACGUGUAUGGAAAAAAACAGGUAUAGGAAUGUACCAUCAAAAGAUGACUAAAAAUUUAUAAAGUACUUUAAAAUAUUACGGCUAAACAAAUAAAGAAUAAAUCAACUAAAAAGUUAAUUUUACUUCAACCACACCAAAAGAUAAUAAUCCAUGAGUAAAAUUUUUUUUUUCUAAUCAAAAUAUAUAUAUAUAUAUAUAUAUAUAUAUAUAAAACUGAAAUAUAUUUGUUAAUAUGUUUUCGCUAUUGUUUUUAUGUGUGUUUGUAUGUGCAUGCAUAUAUUACAUACUUCUGAAUAUGUAUUUGGAUUGAAAGAAAAUUAUAAUAUUAAGUUAGGUUUACUAUAUCAUUACACUGGAUUUGGACUGGUGAUAACAUGAGCAAUUAGACCAAUAGUAAUUAGAAUAACAUCAAUAGCAACAUCAAGAAGACUGAAUAGACACUUUCUAGAAACAGGUAACCAUUUUUUUAAAUGUAAAAAAAGAAUUUUUGUUACUACCUGAUAAGAACUUCUUUCUUGUAAAGCAGAAAUAUUACUUUCUCAAAAUAUUGACCAACAUAUGCCCUUAAUGAACAAACUUAAGAGGCAGAAGACUCACAAACCAAAAGUUGCAUCAUCUUUCUUGGAAAUGAUGUAAAAGGAAUAUUCUCCCCACCAGAUAUAGCCUUUGGGUAACCAGGAACUAGCUGUGGCCACUGUUAUACAUCACAACAUUUGAGGAGCCAUACACAAGCUAGAUGCAAGAGUAUGAUACUGACCAGCACCUGCUAAAAGGUGUAUGUGUAGAUGUAUUAUUACACACGUGUGUAAAAGUCUUGUUUUUUUCUUUGUUUUUUUUGUCCCAGAUAACAUGUUGUAUAUGAAUUAUGGAGCUAUGUUCUUUCUCCAAGAAUCCAAAUUCUGUUAUACUUUUAUAAUGGCUGGCUAAUACAUAUGCUCCAAUAAGAACGAGUAUAAAUCUGCGAGUGUAUUUUGGGUAUUGAAUUUGCAGGCUUCUCAUCCUUCUUUCUCUUGUAAUUUUCUUACUAUAUGAAUAUUAGAUGGGCAGCUGAGUUCCACAUCCCUUUAUAUUUUCAUAUUGUGGCCCCAGGCAACAAUAUGAGCUUGACUUUCUUUUAAUUUGGUUGUUGUUUUUGUUCUUAGGUUUCACCAAUAUUCUUGUGAUUCAUUAGUGUAUAUUUGUCAUUUUUUUUUCUUUCUCACUCCAUUCCAGUUUGUUCUGACGUCUACAUAAUACCUAAUGGUAUGCUUUGUCUUUUGGAUAGAAGGUACUUCAUGGAAAUUUCUUUUGGAUAGAUUGCUUGGAGGUAAUUUUGAAGAUGAGAUGUUGUAAGCUGGUCAUUACUCCAUGCAGUGGCUUUUAGUGUAGUUUAUUUCUAUUAUUUAAAAAAAAUUUUAUUGCUGUCUCAGUGAACUGCUCUAUCUUUUGGUUUUGUUGUGGUGUUAUGUUGGAUUUUCCACUGUUCUCUGGAGAAAGAGAUCUAUCUGCUUUAUUUCAUGUUGAUUAACUAUCCUAAUGAUAUUGUUAUUUUAAUGAUGGCAAACUUGAGUGAGAUAAUUACUGGCCUUUUUUGGCACAGCAGAUGUAGCUUCUAUGUUACAAUCUAGGUCUUGUGUGAUGUUAAUACAGAUCUGAGGCUAUGGUGAUUUCUUUUGCCUGAGUCGUCAUCAUCAUCAUCAUUUUAAAUCUGCUUUCCAUGCUGGAUGGUUUGACUGAGAACUGGCAAGCCAGUAGGCUGCACCAAGUUCCAAUCUGAUCUGACAAGGUUUCUACAGCUGGAUGCCCUUCCUAAUGCCAACCACUCCGAGAGUGUAGUGGGUGCUUUUUAUGUGCCAUCGGCAUGGGAGCCACUCAGGCAGCACUGGCAUCAAUCAUGUAUGGACGGUGCUUUUUACAUGUCACUGGCAUGGGAGCCAGUCAGGGGGCACUGGCAUUGACCAUGUUCAGAUGGUGUUUUUUGUGUGCCACCAGCACAGAAGCCAGUCACAGGACACUGGCACGGUAGGGGGGGGGGUCAAAGGGCAGGGCACUGGCACCAACCGUGAUACAAUAUUUUUACUUCUUCCAUUGAUGUUGAAAUUCCCAGUAACUCCAAGCAGUUUCUAAGUCCUUGCAUCCAUCUCAUUUAGUCAUUAUAAUGACCAAUUGAGAAGGCCAAAUAUAGUUGUGAGUGAUAUGUAUACUUGCUUUAGUCUGACAAUAUUUUCUUUACUCUUUAGAGAUCUGACAUUCAUUAACAGCUUGCCCAUGUUAUUUUUCAGUUCUUAUAUAAAGUUGUAUUAAGCUAGUCUUGGUUAGUUUUUGUUUCUUUCUUUCCGAGGUGGACACAAGUUUUUGUCACAAAAAUGUUUAUUUGGACUCGUUAUAUAUCAUUCCACAUUGUCUGGAGAAUAUUGGAUCAUAUGAUCCAAUUGCUUUUUGAUGCAAUUCUUGUCCUACAAGUUUCAUGUAGCCUUCAAAGAAAAGUAAGGUAUGCUUUUGUGUCUAACCCUUUAGUGUUCAGGCCGGCCAAAACCGGCCAUAAAUAAUUCCUCUGUAUUUGUUUGAACUGGCCAAAUCUGGCUGUAUCUGAUUCCUCUACGAAAUCGCUAAAAAAAUAAAACAAGCCAUGUUAUUGAAUUCUUGUAGCUUUGAGAUCAUGUGAGAUAAAACUUUCCCGCCUUUAUUCAAGUAAAAAUACUGUGAAAUUUUUGAGACUUCUUGUUUUUUUUUUUCAACAUUUGAAGAGAAGUGUGUAUCCUAGUUUUUUACAAUAUGGCAUCAGCAAGUAGCAAUUCCAACUUUGAAGGUUUUACUCUUGAUGAUGUACAAAAUAUAAACAAAAACAACAGUGAUUUGUCUUCAGAUGAAUCUGAUACUGAUAUUUACAAAUCUUUGUUGGAUUAAGAAAAUUUUGAUAAUGAAAGCAAUAAAAAUGAAGAUUACUACAUCAACUGCAAUUACUGAUUUCACAGAAAAGACUGGUCCACAACACAAUUUACCUCCUGAUGCUCAAUCAUUGGACUAUCUUUAUUUUUACCCAAAUGUUUUUUUUUUUGCAGCGGAAAACAAAUAAUUUCUAUUUGUGGAAGACCUGAUCCACUAAGUCAGCUUUUUUGUAUUAUAAACAUUAUGUUUGGUAUCAAGCAGCUUCUUUGACUAUGGAACUACUGGAGUCCUGAUAUAAGGUGUUGUCUUAGUGAUAUGAUGGAGCACUCAAAGAUCAUUUGGAUUGACCUUAUGCUUAACAUAGAUCCUGUCAGUAUCACAGUUCAUAUGGAUGUUACCAGUUGGUGGUUAGUAUCCUCUUAGUCUUUAUGUCCAAGUUACGGAUCUUUUCAAGUAUCCAGUCUAGUAUCCUAAGUGUUGCUUUUAACAAUGACACUGCAAAAGCCUUUUGAGAUAUGGUUUUAUUGAAUGUGGACAAUUCUGACUGCUAUAUCUUCUAAAGUCUGCUGAGUAUUCAUUUGUCUUGCUAGCUUUACUUAAAGCACCAUUGUACACAAUGUUCUCAUCAAUUCUGAGAUAUUUGUAACAUUCAUCAUUGGCAUUUGUAAUGUUGUUGUUCUUCAUGAUUAUAAAUCCUUUGUCAUCAGGGCUACACUACCAGGAUAAACAAGAUGCAAAUAAAUUGUCACACUGGACAUUUAUGUUCUCUUUGUGACUAUAGUAAUAGCUUCAGUUCUUAUUGGUAGCUCUGUGAAUCAUAUUGUAGUCAGUCUUUUAAUGACACCAAUUACAGGAUCUUUACAAAGUACAAUGACUCUAGUAUCCAUGAGUGAGGUACAACCAAGCACCUUGUGGUCUAGCUUUAAAGUAUUUAAGUACAACUUUAUUGAUGAGAGGCAAUCCAAAACUUGGCUUUUCUCCAAACUGUUUGUUUCACAGUGAUUUUAAAGAAACACAUUCAAGCAACCUGUAUAGAGUUCAUAUAUACCUUCCAAGCAUGUUAUGGGCCUGUAGUUCACAACCACUUUAUUGAAUUUUAAGCAUGAGCAAUACGUUCUUAACAUAAUAGCAUCUCCCUACUCAAGUAAAAGCAUUAGUGAGCUCCCUAUAUAUAUAUACACAAUCACAAAUGUGUGUGUUUAUAUUAUGGAAAAAGAAUUUGAAGUUCUACAAAGCCCAAAAAUAUGGGGAAAAAUUCUGUUCUGCUUCAACUUCUGUUCUGUUUCAACACUGGGUGCUUUCAUCAGUAGGAAUCUUUUAUCUGCUGUUUAAAAUAACUUUACCCAAUUGAAGGUACAUCAGAUUUUUAUAUUAGGUUGUCUAAAUAUGGAAACAAAACUUUCUCUACAACUUGGUCUGUCUCUCUAGGACAGUUACCAAAAUGUAAUGACCUAUCUAAUGUUCACCUACUGUACAGAGACCAUUUUUUAAAUAUUUCCAGAGCCCACCUAUUCACUCAUCAUAGGGAUGAAAAUGUAAAUAUUUGGUGAAAUUAAGAUUUGGUACUUCCAUCAAGAUCAGUGGUUAAACAUUUAAAAAAAAAAAAAAAAAAAAAAAAAUGUCAAAAA
Molecule: long non-coding RNA, 8352 nt
Organism: Octopus bimaculoides (California two-spot octopus)
Lineage: Eukaryota; Metazoa; Mollusca; Cephalopoda; Octopoda; Octopodidae
Source: RefSeq, a predicted model, not a curated record